This 496-nucleotide ribosomal RNA is filed under the name uncultured bacterium. Its description in RNAcentral is "partial 16S ribosomal RNA". It matches the Rfam family "Bacterial small subunit ribosomal RNA", at positions 28 to 506 of the family's 1533-position model. The record is from RNAcentral.
GAUGAACGCUGGCGGCGUGCCUAAUACAUGCAAGUCGAGCGAACAGACGAGGAGCUUGCUCCUCUGACGUUAGCGGCGGACGGGUGAGUAACACGUGGAUAACCUACCUAUAAGACUGGGAUAACUUCGGGAAACCGGAGCUAAUACCGGAUAAUAUAUUGAACCGCAUGGUUCAAUAGUGAAAGACGGUUUUGCUGUCACUUAUAGAUGGAUCCGCGCCGCAUUAGCUAGUUGGUAAGGUAACGGCUUACCAAGGCAACGAUGCGUAGCCGACCUGAGAGGGUGAUCGGCCACACUGGAACUGAGAGACGGUCCAGACUCCUACGGGAGGCAGCAGUAGGGAAUCUUCCGCAAUGGGCGAAAGCCUGACGGAGCAACGCAGCGUGAGUGAUGAAGGGCUGCGGAUCGUAAAACUCUGUUAUUAGGGAAGAACAAAUGUGUAAGUAACUAUGCACGUCUUGACGGUACCUAAGCAGAAAGCCACGGCUAACUACGU